This 24-nucleotide non-coding RNA is filed under the name Arabidopsis thaliana (thale cress). Lineage: Eukaryota; Viridiplantae; Streptophyta; Magnoliopsida; Brassicales; Brassicaceae. The record is from RNAcentral.
AGGCACUUUCCGAAAAACUUUAAG